This 540-nucleotide long non-coding RNA is filed under the name Physcomitrium patens. RNAcentral describes it as "long non-coding RNA (PPAT_LNC002552)". The record is from RNAcentral. Lineage: Eukaryota; Viridiplantae; Streptophyta; Bryopsida; Funariales; Funariaceae.
CUUAGCUUCCAAAACUCCUUUAAUUUGCAUAAAACUCAAAAUAUAAUAAAAUCCCUUCAAAACAUAUUUUUAUCUGCGAAAGAUUUUCUCUUCUUGAACUUUAGAAAUUCAUAACUCUUGAUCUAGCUGUUCAAUUUGUCUCAAAUUUAUAGAAUAGGUAGAAUUCUCUCUUAAUUUUAACCACAAAAAAAACCAACUACGAAUUCACUCUUGAUCUUUUGGCAUCUAAGAAACCCUAGCAAAUGCUCUAAACCCUAAUUUACAAGCACUUGAGCACUAUUCUCUUAAUAUCUGAAGAAUCCAAAACUCAAAUGUUAUCAAACUCAUGUAUAAAGUUUACUAACAUGAAUUUACACAUUCCCUAAAAUUUUGAGCCAAAACCUUGUCAAACUGCUCAAGAUAUAGCUCAAGUCACAACCACUAGUAAAUCGAAUCACUUGCUACCCUUAGAUUGCAUGCGCUGACUUCAAAAUCCAAUAACUCCUUUACUUCAACUUAGAAUCCAGCAAGCAGUAUGCAAAAAGUUUAGCCGCAAAAGUG